Molecule: non-coding RNA, 199 nt
Organism: Eubacterium ventriosum ATCC 27560
Lineage: Bacteria; Bacillati; Bacillota; Clostridia; Eubacteriales; Eubacteriaceae
Source: Rfam
AAUAAUAGUAGAGGUUGCGCUACCUAUCAGUACAUUAUAAGAUGCCCCGGAGGCAGAUGAUUAUGUUGGAAAGGAUGUAGCGCCGAAGGAGAAUCCACCGGAAGAUUUAUCCUGGGCAUACGGUUAAGAGCCGUAUGACUGUCAUCAUUUGAUGGAGAGCCAUUAUCGACAAUCACAUUGAUGGAGAGCUACUUAUAAG